This 300-nucleotide ribosomal RNA is filed under the name uncultured bacterium. Its description in RNAcentral is "partial 16S ribosomal RNA". It matches the Rfam family "Bacterial small subunit ribosomal RNA", at positions 524 to 824 of the family's 1533-position model. The record is from RNAcentral.
UACGGGGGGUGCGAGCGUUGUCCGGAAUCACUGGGCGUAAAGGGCGCGUAGGUGGCCUGAUAAGGGUGUGGUGAAAGUCCGGGGCUCAACCCCGGAUCGGCCGUGCCGACUGUUAGGCUAGAGUACUGUAGGGGCAGGCGGAAUUCCGGGUGUAGCGGUGGAAUGCGUAGAGAUCCGGAGGAAGACCGGUGGCGAAGGCGGGUCUCUGGGCCGAUACUGACGCUGAGGAGCGAAGCGUGGGGAGCGAACAGGAUAGAUACCGAGUAGCUCCAUGACCAAGUCCGUACGUGACUCACCGUA